This 468-nucleotide ribosomal RNA is filed under the name uncultured bacterium. RNAcentral's name for it is "partial 16S ribosomal RNA". It matches the Rfam family "Bacterial small subunit ribosomal RNA", at positions 28 to 507 of the family's 1533-position model. The record is from RNAcentral.
GACGAACGCUGGCGGCGUGCUUAGCACAUGCAAGUCGAACGGAAAGGCCCUGCUUUUGUGGGGUGCUCGAGUGGCGAACGGGUGAGUAACACGUGAGUAACCUGCCCUUGACUUUGGGAUAACUUCAGGAAACUGGGGCUAAUACCGGAUAGGAGCUCCUGCUGCAUGGUGGGGGUUGGAAAGUUUCGGCGGUUGGGGAUGGACUCGCGGCUUAUCAGCUUGUUGGUGGGGUAGUGGCUUAUCAAGGCUUUGACGGGUAGCCGGCCUGAGAGGGUGACCGGCCACAUUGGGACUGAGAUACGGCCCAGACUCCUACGGGAGGCAGCAGUGGGGAAUAUUGAACAAUGGGCGGAAGCCUGAUGCAGCAACUCCGCGUGCGGGAUGACGGCCUUCGGGUUGUAAACCGCUUUCGCCUGUGACGAAGCGUGAGUGACGGUAAUGGGUAAAGAAGCACCGGCUAACUACGUG